Molecule: long non-coding RNA, 2015 nt
Filed under: Oreochromis niloticus (Nile tilapia)
Lineage: Eukaryota; Metazoa; Chordata; Actinopteri; Cichliformes; Cichlidae
Description: lncRNA (ENSONIG00000033299.1)
Source: RNAcentral
GAGCUGGACCGCGAUCUGCACACUGCAUGACAGAGCUGCAAGGUAAACCUGCAUGGUUGUUCUAUUACUGCUACCUUUCAUACAAAGAGACACACGUAGAGAAUAUAUUAAUAUACAUUCAUCUCAAAGCAAAGCCAGCCAACAGAAACAAGCUGCUCCUCACUAGAUUACUCUUCCCCACUGACACCGUUAUGUAUGUGUGAGUCUGAUGAAGCUAACAUGGGAACUGUAACAGUAAAGAUACUGUUUACUGGGCCAUAACAAUUACUCAUACUGCAAUAAGAGCAUUAGAAGAUGGUUUUAAAAUAAAGAGAAACUCAAACAAAAACUAAUUUUGGCAGGUGUGAUAAAAGCAGCUGAGCUCCAGGUGUGCCCAAGCUUACAUCUCCAAUUUCAAUUAAACAUAACUGUGUGUUAAAGUAACCAAAAAAUCUGAUUACAACAUCCUGUUGAAUGUUUUAACAGAUACGUCAAACCAAAACGAUGACACGUACGCCACCAUCCCCGACCUGCCACAGACUGGAACCCUGCCCGGUAACAGCCGACACUCACAGCCUCAUAACUGAACCAGAAGUUCUGCUAACACUGCAUCUGCCUUCAUUUAAUCCAAACAUGUCCUUUCCUCCUACAGACUCGACAUAUUCCUUGAUUGGUUCCACUUUUCACGCUGGCAGUAAUAAAGGUUUAUUAAAGCAGAAUGACCCCACAUACGCCACCAUCACCUACCUGCCACACACCACAGACAUGAACGGUAACAGCUCUGCUGGCACAAACUCUCACAGCAGCUUACAAACUGUAUUUAUUCAUAACUCUGGUUCCCUCCUGCAGAUUCUCCAUAUUCUUUGGUUGGUGAGUCUUUCAAUGAUGGAAAUCAACAAGGUUCAAAGCAGCUGACUGACAGCACGUACGUCUUACUGCAGAAGCCCAAACCACCAAGACCAGUUUAACUUUAUCUGAUGGGCCAGUCAAAAAUAUUGGUUUGUCUCAAUGUUUUACUGUAAAAAUGUAUGUAAUUGUAUUUUUAUAUGUAUAUAAUAUGAAGUUCAUGUAUCCUUCAAUUUUGUACCCCCAUAUAAAAUGCGAUUAUUAAUGAAACUAUUAAUGCAACAUAAGAGAGACGUGUUGUUGAAUCCUGUCGUAAAUCUGUUGGAGCAAAGAUGACUCCAUACAUUCAGUUUCCAUGUAAAAAUCAAUAAAUCAAUAAAAUGAUGUGGGAUAAAUAUAUUUAUAUAUCCCAGUACCCUGAUGUGUGUGUGGGUCCUUCUACAGUUGUAAAUUUGAAUUGUGUGUUUACUUUGUUUUUGUUUGUUAGAUAUUUUAUUCUUUUUUAAACUUUUUUUUUUUUAAAGUUAAAAAAUUUGACAUGUGUGACCACUGUCGGCUCUGGACUCUAGAUCAGAAUUCAGACUUUCAUUUUGUUUUGCCAUUUAGGUUUUCCUAAAUGGAAACUAGGAAUUAUUCCUAAUGGUCUAUUUCAGGAACCAGUGGCUAAAAAAGGCCAAUAAACCGUCUGAAUCCAGCCUCAGGUGUUCUUAACUAAAUCUAACCACGGCCAAUAUAAACAAAAGGCCGUUAUUAAACCAGGACCAGGUCGGGCUGUCCUCAGCUCAUUCUGUUACUCAACCUCGAUGUGCCUGCUUCCUGUCAUUUCACAACAUGUAUCCCUCUGACUGCAUGUCCUCUGUUGGGUUUAUCUAGGCACAAACUCCGCUGGAACACAAGCCCAAACUGCACGACAAAACAAGACAAACAGAGCUCUUUGUCUUUGUGGCUCGCAAGGGAGUCAGCCCAGGUCUUCACCUGUGCUUAGCCAACUUCGACUGAUUCCUUCGCUACAGCCCUUUUUAUUGUCAGCAAGCAAUCAUUCAUGAAUAUGCAAUUACAAAUACACGUGACAGUCUUAAGCAGGCAUAUCUGAACAACAUCAGUGUCUGUGUGUGUGUGUGUUUCCAGCUAUACCAUACAUAGAUAUGCGACCUUUCAAUGAAGUUAAACUGUGUGUAUGAGGCAUGCAG